ACGGGAGGCAGCAGUGGGGAAUAUUGGACAAUGGGGGAAACCCUGAUCCAGCGACGCCGCGUGAGUGAAGAAGUAUUUCGGUAUGUAAAGCUCUAUCAGCAAGAAAGAAAAUGACGGUACUUGACUAAGAAGCCCCGGCUAACUACGUGCCAGCAGCCGCGGUAAUACGUAGGGGGCAAGCGUUAUCCGGAUUUACUGGGUGUAAAGGGAGCGUAGACGGCGAUGCAAGUCUGAAGUGAAAGCCCGGGGCUCAACCCCGGAACUGCUUUGGAAACUGUAUAGCUAGAGUGCAGGAGAGGUAUGUGGAAUUCCUAGUGUAGCGGUGAAAUGCGUAGAUAUUAGGAGGAACACCAGUGGCGAAGGCGACAUACUGAACUGUAACUGACGUUGAGGCUCGAAGGCGUGGGGAGCAAACAGGAUUAGAUACCCUGGUA
This 434-nucleotide ribosomal RNA is filed under the name uncultured Clostridium sp. Its description in RNAcentral is "partial 16S ribosomal RNA". It matches the Rfam family "Bacterial small subunit ribosomal RNA", at positions 341 to 792 of the family's 1533-position model. The record is from RNAcentral. Lineage: Bacteria; Bacillati; Bacillota; Clostridia; Eubacteriales; Clostridiaceae.